Molecule: non-coding RNA, 410 nt
Organism: Pelobates cultripes (western spadefoot toad)
Lineage: Eukaryota; Metazoa; Chordata; Amphibia; Anura; Pelobatidae
Source: the annotation of a GenBank genome assembly
GUUUCGGCAGCGGUGAUGGGGCAUAAGCUGGCAGCGCUAGCGUUUUUGUUCAAAUUUAACGGGUGGGAGGAUGCUACCAAAAAUGUUCUGGUUAGACAGGCACUGAAAGGUUUCAGGAGGGGUAAAGUGUCAGUGGAUACUAGGAGGCCGGUGUCGUUCGAAUUGCUGCAGCGUGUGGUCAGAGUCCUGCCCGCGGUGUGUUUUUCAGGAUACGAAGUGACGUUGUUUUCCGUGGUUUUAGUUUUGCCUUUUUUGGGGCAUUUCGGGUCAGCGAGCUAGUUAGCAGCAGUCGCCAAGGAUCUGGGGGACUUCAGGCGAUGGACGUGGAAGUGUGGAGCAACAAGGUAGUGAUUAACCUGAGGCGGUCCAAAAUGGAUGUAAUGGGGAAAGGAACGUUGGUUACGUUGUGG